CGGACGGGUGAGUAAUGUCUGGGAAACUGCCUGAUGGAGGGGGAUAACUACUGGAAACUGUAGCUAAUACCGCAUAACGUCGCAAGACCAAAGAGGGGGACCUUCGGGCCUCUUGCCAUCGGAUGUGCCCAGAUUGGAUUAGCUAGUAGGUGGGGUAACGGCUCACCUAGGCGACGAUCCCUAGCUGGUCUGAGAGGAUGACCAGCCACACUGGAACUGAGACACGGUCCAG
RNAcentral lists this ribosomal RNA (232 nucleotides) under uncultured Enterobacterales bacterium. RNAcentral's name for it is "partial 16S ribosomal RNA". It matches the Rfam family "Bacterial small subunit ribosomal RNA", at positions 99 to 334 of the family's 1533-position model. Lineage: Bacteria; Pseudomonadati; Pseudomonadota; Gammaproteobacteria; Enterobacterales. The record is from RNAcentral.